RNAcentral lists this ribosomal RNA (464 nucleotides) under uncultured bacterium. Its description in RNAcentral is "partial 16S ribosomal RNA". It matches the Rfam family "Bacterial small subunit ribosomal RNA", at positions 29 to 507 of the family's 1533-position model. The record is from RNAcentral.
ACGAACGCUGGCGGCGUGCUUAACCCAUGCAAGUCGAACGGAAAGGCCCCCUUGUGGGGUACUCGAGUGGCGAACGGGUGAGUAACACGUGAGUAACCUACCCUUGACUUUGGGAUAACUUCAGGAAACUGGGGCUAAUACCGGAUAGGAGCUCCUGCUGCAUGGUGGGGGUUGGAAAGUUUCGGCGGUUGGGGAUGGACUCGCGGCUUAUCAGCUUGUUGGUGGGGUAGUGGCUCACCAAGGCUUUGACGGGUAGCCGGCCGGAGAGGGUGACCGGCCAAAUUGGGAUGGAGAUGCGACCCGGCCUCCGCGGGGGGGAGGCGGUGGGGAAUUUUGCACAUGGGGGGGAAGCCUGAUGCAGCACCGCCGUGUGGGGGAUGGCGGCCUUGGGUUUGUAACCCGCUUCCGCCGGUGACGAGGCGUGAGUGAGGGUAAUGGGAAAAGAAGCCCCGGCAAACUACGUG